GACGAACGCUGGCGGCGUGCUUAACACAUGCAAGUCGAACGGAAAGGCCCUGCUUGCCGGGUGCUCGAGUGGCGAACGGGUGAGUAACAUGUGGGUGAUCUGCCCCUUACUUUGGGAUAAGCCUGGGAAACUGGGUCUAAUACUGGAUAGGACCAUGCUGUAGGUGGUGUGGUGGAAAGAUUUUUUCGGUAAGGGAUGAGCUCGCGGCCUAUCAGCUUGUUGGUGGGGUAAUGGCCUACCAAGGCGUCGACGGGUAGCCGGCCUGAGAGGGUGGACGGCCACAUUGGGACUAAGAUACGGCCCAGACUCCUACGGGAGGCAGCAGUGGGGAAUAGUGCACAAUGGGCGCAAGCCUGAUGCAGCGACGCCGCGUGGGGGAUGACGGCCUUCGGGUUGUAAACUCCUUUCAGCCAUGACGAAGCCUCUUUUGGGGUGACGGUAGUGGUAGAAGAAGCACCGGCUAACUACGUG
RNAcentral lists this ribosomal RNA (471 nucleotides) under uncultured bacterium. RNAcentral describes it as "partial 16S ribosomal RNA". It matches the Rfam family "Bacterial small subunit ribosomal RNA", at positions 28 to 507 of the family's 1533-position model. The record is from RNAcentral.